Molecule: non-coding RNA, 2103 nt
Organism: Myodes glareolus (Bank vole)
Lineage: Eukaryota; Metazoa; Chordata; Mammalia; Rodentia; Cricetidae
Source: RefSeq, a predicted model, not a curated record
CUGACGUUUCAGUGAAGCGGGUCAGUACCUGGCCUGGAUGUCCCUCAGGACACCAGGUUUACCUCAAGCCACUGAGUACACGAAAGAACGCCUAGCUCUGUAAUGAUGUAACACACCUUCCAUUCCGGCGUUCUUCUCCCUCAGAGAAUGCAGCUUUCCGAGACUGACAGCUGCACUGAAUUACUCAAAUGGCGUCUCUAUGCUGAACUGAUUCUUCUAGAAUAACUGGUCAACACACUCCCGUGCUGAGGUUACAGAAGUGUGCCACCAUUUCAGACUUUCUAUGUGGGUCUGAGGGAUUGAACUGAAGUUCCCUUGGCAAACUUUUUGUUAACAAUCAGCUCCACAACCACAGAUUAUUUUUAAACAGACUAGUUCUGUUCAUCUUUCUUUUUAGUACAAUUUUACUUGGAUGGAUUCUUUAACCCUGGAAAUUGAAACUACUUACUCAAAAUGCGUGAGGAUUUCCCUGUGUCAGUGAUCAUCAGAUAACAGGUCUCUUUGACAGUAUUUAUUUGUACUUGAGAUUGUCAAAUAUUCACUCUUACUUUUCAAAAUCUGUUCAUAUUUAUACUCGUUCUCAAAAUUAUUUUCAAAAAUUAAUGACUGUAAAUAAUUAUAAACAUUGUCCUUAUGCUUCCAUCUGCUGUGAAAUUUUGAAUUUUGUUUACUUUGGCCAGUAAUCAAUCUCAGGCUAGUGUGAUACUAUGAGUGGUUCUAGUUUACCUAGCCAUGUCUCUCUCCUCCAUGAAGUCAGCUUAGAGGCAGAAAAUUAUUAUUAUUUCAAUUAUGGUCUUUCACCUCAAUGAUAUGUAUUUCACAUUCAAAGUCACUUUUUUGUCAAAUAAAACUUAAUUACAUUUCAUUCAUAACAAAUUAUCUCCAUGAUAGUUUUAUUAGCAUCUUUCUGUAUUAAAAUCACAGCUUUCCAUUCUCAAAAUUUGGUAGGAAUUAUUUGUUUCUUUGAUAUUAUUUACUAUAUUGCAUUGAUAUUAUUCAAGUGGAUAUAUUUUUCAAUAUACAGUGUAGUAUAAUUUAUAUGUCUGAGAUUAGAUAAACAUGUGAUCAUCUGCAAAAUACAAUGGUUGUCAAUAAAAGCUCCAAAAAUACUAUACCUGUUUGCUGUAUUCUCACUUCUUAAUUUCAGGAUGAAUGUACCCUUUCUGUAGAUUUUACAAAAUCAGCCUCUGAAGCUUUACUGCACAGGUACACCUUUCCCACCACAUCAUUUUAAAUAGGAGGUCAGAAACUGUUGAGAACUGGCCAGACACAUUGUCUUACCUUUUAUAAAUUAGACCUAAAAUAAUCAGACAAAAUUUUGUAACUUGACCAUCAAAACUAUUAACAGCCUUAACUACAUUAUAUUUAUUCUCCAAGAAGUUACCCAGCAAAGAGUACCCUUGCACUUUUUAACAUUGCUACCCAAGAGUGAUAACAAACUGCAUAAGGAAGCAUUCCACUAAUACGAGAAGCUCCUGUAGCAAUAGACCCCAGCUAUGAUGGCAUCCAAGGUACAAGCUUCAUUAGGAGUUUGAAAUAGUCUCUUUCUAAAUAAUGGUUUAUGAAUGAUACAUAAUUGAUUUCAAAUGCAGCUUGGGGAAAAAAGUGUUUAUAUCAGCUCACAGGUAAUAGUAUCCCAUCAUAAGGUGAAACCCCUUAGGAGCUCAAGCAGAAACUGGAGGCAGAAACUAAAGCAGAAGCCAUGAAGGAACAAUGCUUACUAGUUUGCUCCCAUGGUCAAGUUAAUCUUUGUUAUACAGCCAAGUGGGAACCUAGGGAUGAUACUGCUUACAGUGGGCUGGGACCUCCUACUUCAAUUGUCACUGAGGAAACAGUACACAGAAACACUCAUGAGUGAAUGUAAUAGAGGUAAUUCUUCAAUUACAAUUCCUUAGAAAUAAUCAUUUUAAAGAAAUACAUUUAUCCAAAAUGAAAUCUAAAAUAAUAGUAUCUUAGUUACCCUUAAAUUGCAUAUAAUUGUGUUAAAUAAAACAGAAUGUUAAAUGUGAAGCUUUUAAUCACUUGGGAGGUAGAAGAUGGAGGAUCUCUGUAUUUGAGGCCAGCCUGGUCUACUUAUUGAUUUCCAUGACAUACAUAGUGAUA